AAAGCAUCUGAAACCCUAGGAAGGGCCGAACCACAUCUCUACACUAACAUCACACUAACCACCAGGUCCUAUCUGUCUGAAGAGAGGACGUCUGAUCCAUAAACACAUCCUGACCCGGGACCAAGACUGGAUGAUGAAAGGAGACAGGGUUUGGGCUACUUCUUCACCUGCUGAACAAACCCAUAUACACACGCCUCUUUUCCUCUAAAGGAGUUAAGUGUACAAUUUGAUUGACCAGCAAAUGGGUCAGAGAUGAUAAGAUUAAGCCAUAUCCCUCAUGACUUUCUUUCUCUGGGUAACUUGAGUCUCAUCUGGAAGGGCUGGUUUUUCAUUUCAAGCCUGGUUUGUUCUAAUCCUGGCCCUGGGAUCCUAGACUCUGUACUGAAGAGGCUUCCGAAGGACCAGCUGGUCUGCUUAUCCACACUCAGGUACAUUGGGACUGCCUCAGAGAUACAGAGCUUCUCUAUGUUUUAAAACUUGUUUUCCUAAUAAGAAAUGUUUCCUUCUAUGUAACCUCAUGGUCUUGUACUGCUCUUUGUCGAGACAGAAAACAGCUGGAGGUAUUGUCUGUGGGCAUCUUCUGUAUGCUUCAAGAUUCUCAGUUUUACUUUCUGCAAGCUGAAAAAUCUAGUCUCCUUAACCUCUUUUUACAAGUAUUCUUUUUCUUCCUGUAUACUAUGUUUGUGAGUGUUCCAAGAUAAAGUUUCCUUAAGUUUGUUAAUCAUUGUUAACAUCUGGAACCUUUCUAAACAUACCAAAUUGCACAUUACUCUCCAGACUUCCUGUACAAGAAUUACAGGAGCAGAGGUUGUUUGGAGCCUGAGCAGGAAUUAUCAUUCUUAAACAGGACAAAUAAAUCAUUGUGAUCUUUUUGAAGCCCAACUUAAAGUUCUCCCUUUCUCAGGGAAUGGAACCUAUUUUUCAGAGGGAUCCCUGGCAGGUCGGUUGGCACUAGCAUCCUGAAGGGACACCUGGUCUGAAGACGGCCAGGCAGAAUCUUUUCCCCAGAAUUUAGAAAUGGACCUUAUUACCAGGAGAUCAAUCUCUGAGGGUGACUAGAAGUAUGAUAUGAAGUAAAAGGAGACAAAAUUAUGGUAUGAAGAUAGAGAAGCAGGGAAAGAUGGUUUGCAGAGAAGGGGUAGAAUGAAGCAGAAGAAUGAAGCAGAUGCUCUCUAAGAGAUUCAAGAGGAAAAUGGCAAAGCAUUCCAGUGACUUUCCAGGCUUUGGUUCCAGUCUCUGCAUUCCUACUCUGGAGUUCUUGUCUAUGUUGUUUUUGCCCAUCCUAGUGUUAUAGACUGAAUUGUGUCUCCCCAAAAUUCUGAUGUUGAAACUCUACCGCACAAUGUGACUUUUGAAGAUCGGGCCUUCAGAGAGGUAAUUAAGAUCAAAUGAAGUUAUAAGUGCAGGGUCCUAAUCUGAAAACAAAACAAAACAAAACAAAACAGAACAACAACAACAACAACAACAAAACUGACAUUCUUAUAAGAAGAGGAAGGGACACCGGAGCUCUCUCUCUACCAUGUGAGGACAUUGUGAGGAGCUGGCUGUCUGCAACCCAGGAAGAGAGACCUCACCAGGAACCAACCCUGACAAUACCUUGAUCUUGCACUUCCAUUCUCCAGAAGAGUGAGAAAAUAAAUUUCUGUUGUUUAAGCCACCCAGUCUGUGAUAGUUUGGUAAGGCAACCCAAGCAGACUAAUAUGCCUGGCUAAAGUGGAUUCUCAUUACCAACCACCAAAAUGGCUUAACCAAAUAUAGAACUAACAGCUCUACCGGGACAGGGCCAUGCAUGGAUGUGAAGCCGAGAACCAUAACAGCCUUCUCCCUUUCAACCUAAAAUGAAGCCAACACACAGAGAGAAGAGGGGAUUCACAAGAACCCCAGGAAAAGAGAUGGAGCUGCUGGAUCAAAUCAACUCGAAGUUCUACCCAAUCUCUGCAUUGGCCAAUGUUGACAUUACGCGAUGCUGAAACUCUCAUUCAGAGAACACUCCUUGGAACACUUAGGAACAAAGGUCCAGAGAUGUGAAUAAAUGUGUUGCAUUGGGGGAAAGAAAAACAAUGCAGAGAGCCUAGAGAGAUCAUUUUUUCCCAAGUGUUUUGUCCUUGGAAACCCAAUCAAGCCUUCCCUUUAUCAUCCACUCACCUUGCAGCAGAUCUAUUUCUUCUUGAUUUUGUGUAAUUUGAUUCAUUCUCAGAUGUUUGUUCAUCUGAUCUUACAGUUGGUAUGGUAACGGCCUGACUGAACUGUGGUGUUUAUUUUUCACCACAAGCUCUUGUCAAGUCAGGAAGAAUCACCUUUGCCUUCUUUCAAGCAGUACAGGGGACUGAGAUAUUGAGGAGGAGGCAUGGCCUUGUACCCCUACUGGGGUCGAUGCUGGAAAAUCUCCUGUUAAAACUCUACCAUUUUCCUUCCUCUGUUCACAUUGAUUGAGGUGGUUCCUUCCUUUCUGUAGAGCUCUUGUCUCCUUGCCAUGGAAGGCAACAUUUAUUUCUAUCCCCCACCCCCUCUCAUGUGACAUUAAUAACAGGACACAAAUUGGGUGGGCAAUAGGUCAAAGAAUUUGUGAAAGUCACAUUCAAAAAAAUACUGUAAAGAAGCAAAAGGAGAUAUCUUAGAAUCAGAAUUAAUCAUUGAAAAUAAUACUUAUAAGUAUUUACUAACUUUGUAACUCAGUUAAGAAGUUCUUCACACCCUAGAUGUUCAAACAUUGAGGGAGAACAUGGCUAAUAUUUAUUAGAUACUACCAUGAGCUAAGCACUAUGUGUGGCCUACCAUACACGUGACUCAUUCAGUCUCACAAUGACCUGGGGAAACAACUAUAAUCAUCUCCACUUUAUGGAGAAAAAGAACUUUUCCAAGGUCUUGCAGCUAGCAUGUAGAGGGUCUAGGAUUUGAAUUUGGAACUUGCACCUUCAUUUUAUUUCUACCACACUAUACUCUUUUGAACAGAAGAUACAUAGCACACUUGUUCUGAGAGUAGACUUGCCUAUAAGAAUAGUAAAAUCUGGCCCUACCAUGUACUAAUUGUGUAAUUUUGACCAAAUUACUUAACCUUUCUCUGCCUCAGUUUCCUCAUUUGGAAAAUGGGAAUAAUCCAAACUCUGCCCUGUCAUUUUAGGAAAGUCCCUUAUCCCCCUGGGCCUUACUUUCAUGUCUCUGUAAUGAGGGACCUGCACUAGUGAUUUCUAAGGGAGCUUUUGUGCAAACAUUCAGCCAUAUUCUGGGCUUAGGGUCAUGAUUUUAUAUCAGUGCAGGGCAGUGAAAAGAGAAGAAAAGAGAAGCUUCAAGAAAUAUCUUACAAACAUAAGACUUGGUGGCUGAUUUCAUGGAAAAGGCAAAGAAGGAGCUUGAGUAAAAGAUGGCUCUGAGCUUUAGAGCCUGGAGGAAAGAUAUAUUUAUUUUUAAAUCAUCCAAAAGCCACUCUUGCUAUUGUGUUAGUUAUUGUCUCCAUUUGACCAAUGAAUCAAGGUUUUAAAAUAUCCAUUUGCUGUCCCUUAUUCGUUAUUCUUCUGUGAACAAGCUUAGUCCAUAACGGUCUAAAACCAUCAGCAGCUCAUUAGUCAUCAGAAGAUUUGUAACUAAGUGGUAAUAGAGAUUCCUGUAAUCUGGACUUCAGAGCUAAAGGAACGGGUAUCCAGUGAUGAAUCGUCCAGGCAGGGCUCUGAAAGGUGUCCUAAUGGAUGCAGCAAGUGAAGAUCUGUUCCAGAUGGACAUAUCUGCUGCUGCUUUUCUGUUCCUCACGCACAACACACCUUGGCUCAGCCAUCCUCCCUUCUUGCAAAGGCUCCUAGACUACCCUCUGGCAGGAAGAAUCUAAUCCAUCCUUCAAAGAAAAGCUCAAGCUGUUCAUGGAAUAGACACGUAUGGAGCCAGGCUCUGUGCUAGGUGCCAGCAAUGCAAAGAUGAAAGACACCUGUCUCAAAGAGCUCCCACCAGCUGGGCCUGGGGCAUCAUCCCCAAGCUCACACCUUGUCAUUCAUUUUGCUUGUCUAUUCAUGGUGGUUAAUUCCUGAGGACAAGGACUUUUUUCAUACUCUUCAUGAUACUUAUGUGCUGAGAGUGGGUGUUGAAAUGUAUUUGUACUUUGUUUUAUUUGGGAGAAAGGCCUUAUUGUGUAGCAGCUAAGAGAGAAGGCCAUAGGGUUAUAUGGAU
This 4155-nucleotide long non-coding RNA is filed under the name Homo sapiens (human). RNAcentral describes it as "HSALNT0055249". Lineage: Eukaryota; Metazoa; Chordata; Mammalia; Primates; Hominidae. The record is from RNAcentral.